GUCUGUGAGUGUAAAUAAUACACAGUCUAGCCUGCUCACUGAAUUAUUAAAGAGCCGCAGUAAUUUGACUGUGCGAAGGUAGCAUAAUCAGUAGCCCCCUAAUUAGGGGCUGGAAUGAAAGGCUGGAUAAGAGAUAAGCUGUCUCAAUAAAUAAUAAAAGAACUUAACUCUUAAGUGAAAAGGCUUAAAUAUACUGGGGGGACGAUAAGACCCUAUAAAACUUAAUAUAAGAUAAGUUUGAAAAUAAAUCGAGGUUAAAGUAAACUUACUUAACUUAUAUUCCGUUGGGGAGACGAAGAUACAAUUAAGAUAACUGUCUAUAAAAUUAUAUAAUUAUAAUUAGAUCGUGAUCCUUCCUUGAGGAUUAAAGAUUAAGUUACUUUAGGGAUAACAGCGUAAUUUUCUUUGAGAGUUCUUAUCGACAAGAGUAGUUGCGACCUCGAUGUUGAAUUAAAUUUUUGUUUAGAAGUAGCAGUUUAAAUAAUAGGUCUGUUCGACCUUUAAAAUUUU
Molecule: ribosomal RNA, 510 nt
Filed under: Anchistioides sp. HCL-2006
Lineage: Eukaryota; Metazoa; Arthropoda; Malacostraca; Decapoda; Anchistioididae
Description: partial 16S ribosomal RNA
Rfam family: Bacterial large subunit ribosomal RNA
Source: RNAcentral